RNAcentral lists this transfer RNA (86 nucleotides) under Streptomyces sp. MH60. RNAcentral describes it as "tRNA-Ile". The record is from RNAcentral. Lineage: Bacteria; Bacillati; Actinomycetota; Actinomycetes; Kitasatosporales; Streptomycetaceae.
CCGGUCUUGGCGGGGACCGUGCGGUCGCCGAUCUUGACCAGGACCAUGCUGGUGGGGCCGUCGCUGUCCGGGUCGGCGAGGGCGGG